AUGGCGUGCAAGUGUGGCUGUGGCCCACUAUCGGUGGCAGGCUGGGUGCCAAAAGCCCUUGACAGACCCUGGCCGGGAGCACCUGGAACUCAGCUAGCUGAGAUUUAUCUAUGGUCUCAUUCACAUGACAUCAUCGUAUAUGUUGGCUGGAUUUUUUCCCUCUCCCCACGAUUUGCACAAGUCGUGCCAUCUUUUGGGGCUUGGUUUAUGUCUCCUGUCACUCAUGCUAAACCGUGGGAAGCGGCGAUACGCGUGCAGGAUGAAGCCAAACCGGCUGGCUGGAUAGAUCAAGUUGGAGCCAGGAGAAUUGGUCAGGUUGCAUGCAGUCGUGAAGCCGAGAGGGCUGGGAAAAACAAUGUAGUGUGUGUGUUCACCAAGGAGCAGACCCUCUUGGCAAAGCAGCGGAUGUCUUCUCUUUGGUGUAUGCGCGUGUGUGUGUGUGUGGAGUUUCACCAUGACCGUGUAGUGUGUGUUCUUGAGAGAGACAAAGAGAGAUGGAGAUUGAGUUGUGAGAGGCAGCUCAGGAGGAAGAAGAAGCGGUGCUGCAAGGAGAGAUGGCGCCAACAAUUGGUAUACAGAGCCAGGUUGAUCCGCGGCGGCGGCGGCGACGUGGUGGACUCCAUGGGAGGUGGAGGACGCCGGCGCGAGGUGAUGGCUGGCAGCGGCGCGAUGCCGCGGGCGGCCGGUUGCGGUGCGAUGCCGCGAGAUGAAGGUGGUGCGAUGAUCGGCGUCGCGAGGACGUCAUCCACGACAAGAUGGUCCGUGGUGACCGGCGCUGCGACGGCGUCGGUUGUGGCGCGACGGACUUCAUGCGAGAUGGAGGCCGACGGCGCAAGAAGGAGGAUGGUGGCCAUGCGGUGCCGCUAUGUGAAGAUGGCGGUGCGAAGCUGCCACAAGAAGAGUCGGCGUGAUGCCGACGACGGUGGUGUGAUGCCAUCGUCAUCUUGGAAAGUUGCGUCGUCCACGUCAAGAGGUGGCCGCUGCGUGCGGCAAGAGUACAUGGUGAUGGACGCGGGCGCUGCGAUGGCGUCGGUCCAGGCAAGUGAAGCCGAGAGGGCUGGGAAAAACAAUGUAGUGUGUGUGUUCACCAAGGAGCAGACCCUCUUGGCAAAGCAGCGGAUGUCUUCUCUUUGGUCUAGUAGUUGCGCCGCUGCUUGGGAGCUGCUACAUGCUCGUGCGACGUUGGGCCCCAACGAAGCUCCGCCCCUGGCGGCUAUAGAACAAUCUAAACUGCCGGAGGGUCCAUCUAUCCUCCGGCGGCGCAACUGCCGGAGUCCACGUAAAAUCUCUCCGGCUGCUGGGUUUCUCGGGCCAUCGGUGCAAGGAGGGAUGGAGGGAGCGACGAUGGGGGUAGUAGUGAGUGCGGCGGCGGCCCGGCCAAGUGGAUCGGGGCUGGCGAGAGGAGGGGCUGAGGAAGACAUUAGCGGGAAGGGGAGGCAAGAUCGAAGCUCGCAAGAUGUGAGGAACCAGGCAGAGGAUUUUGAGGAGGAAUGUGGCAAUUAUUAUGGCCCUGAUCCAGACUUGGAAGAUCAAUUCGCGGGGAUGAAGCUGCAUGGCCGGGAGGAGGAAGAGCUUGACUUCUCAGAGGAAGUGGAUGAUCUCAUUAAGGACGUGCGCUGGCUGGCUCUCUUUCGGAGCUACCGUCUAAACAAGAUACCGGUCUGGGCUAGAGUGAAGGGGUUGCCAGAUGGCCUAACAAGAAGGAGAGAGUUGGCUGAAAAAGUUGCUGCCAAGGUGGGUGAUCCACCUUUCAAUGUGAUUAUGAAUGAGGGAAGGAUAAAUCCAGCUUCUACCCUGCGAGUUAGGGUGUAUGUGGAUGUUAACAUCCCCCUGGUCCGCUUUGUGCCAAUCACAUUAAAGGAGUACAAGAGGUAUAGUGUCUACUAUGAGAAGCUCCCAGACUUUUGUUUCGCAUGCGGAAGAAUGGGCCACUUAGCUGAUGAAUGUGGUGACGGGGUGCAUGAUCCAAGGUCCUUCGAGUGGGGGGACUGGCUGCUUUGGGAGCCGGAGAUUUCAGUUGCUCAAGGCGUAGGGGGGCGUGGGAGAGGUGGUGGAGGAGGAAGAGGUAGAGGGAGGGAUGCUGGUCGAGAGUACAAAGGAGGCAUAGGAGGAAGGGGUUCGGGAGGUGGAAGAGGAGGUGAGCAUGCAGAGGAGGUUGUCGGGACAGAUGCUCAGCGUACGGAUAUGGAUGGAGUGGAUGAUGAUCAUAGGGGAAAGUCUAGCAAGGACGGAGUUGAGAAGGGAGCCCGCAAACGGCUUGUGGCAGCGGAUAGUACUGUUAAUGUUAGGGGCCAGCUGGUCCCAAAUUUAGCAGGUAGAGUGGCUGGUUCGGUUGCGAAUUAA
RNAcentral lists this ribosomal RNA (2343 nucleotides) under Triticum aestivum (bread wheat). RNAcentral describes it as "partial small subunit ribosomal RNA". The record is from RNAcentral. Lineage: Eukaryota; Viridiplantae; Streptophyta; Magnoliopsida; Poales; Poaceae.